GACGAACCGUGCGAACGUUGUUCGGAAUCACUGGGCUUAAAGGGCGCGUAGGCGGGCUGUCAAGUCUGGGGUGAAAUGCCGCGGCUCAACCGUGGAACUGCCUCAGAUACUGACGGCCUCGAGGGAGGUAGGGGCGUGCGGAACUGUAGGUGGAGCGGUGAAAUGCGUUGAUAUCUACAGGAACUCCGGUGGCGAAAGCGGCGCGCUGGACCUCUUCUGACGCUGAGGCGCGAAAGCUAGGGGAGCAAACAGG
This 253-nucleotide ribosomal RNA is filed under the name uncultured bacterium. Its description in RNAcentral is "partial 16S ribosomal RNA". It matches the Rfam family "Bacterial small subunit ribosomal RNA", at positions 524 to 776 of the family's 1533-position model. The record is from RNAcentral.